GGGGCUGUGGCUCAGCAGUAGAGCGUUCAUCUCUCAUAUGUGAGACCUGGGUUUGAUCCUCAGCACCA
RNAcentral lists this transfer RNA (68 nucleotides) under Ictidomys tridecemlineatus (thirteen-lined ground squirrel). Its description in RNAcentral is "Spermophilus tridecemlineatus (thirteen-lined ground squirrel) tRNA". It matches the Rfam family "tRNA". Rfam says of the family: Transfer RNA (tRNA) molecules are approximately 80 nucleotides in length. Lineage: Eukaryota; Metazoa; Chordata; Mammalia; Rodentia; Sciuridae. The record is from Rfam by way of RNAcentral.